GAUGAACGCUGGCGGCGUGCCUAAUACAUGCAAGUCGAACGCUGGAGAUCUAGCUUGCUAGAUCGAAGGAGUGGCGAACGGGUGAGUAAUACAUAAGCAACCUACCCACGAAGACUGGGAUAAUCUCUGGAAACGGGGACUAAUACCGGAUAGGUAAUCGGAAGGCAUCUUCUGGUUAUUAAAGGUUAAAAACACUGGUGGAUGGGCUUAUGGCGCAUUAGUUAGGUGGUGAGGUAACGGCCCACCAAGACGAUGAUGCGUAGCCGGCCUGAGAGGGUGAACGGCCACAUUGGGACUGAGACACGGCCCAGACUCCUACGGGAGGCAGCAGUAGGGAAUUUUCGGCAAUGGGGGCAACCCUGACCGAGCAACGCCGCGUGAGUGAAGACGGCCUUCGGGUUGUAAAGCUCUGUUGUAAGGGAAGAACGGUAGAUAGAGAAUAUCUAAGUGACGGUACCUUACCAGAAAGCCACGGCUAACUACGUG
This 486-nucleotide ribosomal RNA is filed under the name uncultured bacterium. RNAcentral's name for it is "partial 16S ribosomal RNA". It matches the Rfam family "Bacterial small subunit ribosomal RNA", at positions 28 to 507 of the family's 1533-position model. The record is from RNAcentral.